ACUCAACGUUAAUUCUUUAAAAAGGGUGAGUUUAAGUUGUAAAAGCAGGCUGCCGUACCUAGUACUUAGCAGAUCCUUGAUCAGCUUGUUAGCCCUAAACUUGUUUUUAAGGAGUUU
RNAcentral lists this small RNA (117 nucleotides) under Seonamhaeicola algicola. RNAcentral describes it as "6S-Flavo RNA". It matches the Rfam family "6S-Flavo RNA". The record is from Rfam by way of RNAcentral. Lineage: Bacteria; Pseudomonadati; Bacteroidota; Flavobacteriia; Flavobacteriales; Flavobacteriaceae.